RNAcentral lists this ribosomal RNA (1489 nucleotides) under uncultured bacterium. RNAcentral's name for it is "bacterial SSU rRNA". It matches the Rfam family "Bacterial small subunit ribosomal RNA". The record is from RNAcentral.
GAGUUUGAUCCUGGCUCAGAUUGAACGCUGGCGGCAUGCCUUACACAUGCAAGUCGAACGGUAACAGGUCUUCGGAUGCUGACGAGUGGCGAACGGGUGAGUAAUACAUCGGAACGUGCCCAGUAAUGGGGGAUAGCUCGGCGAAAGCCGGAUUAAUACCGCAUACGCCCUGAGGGGGAAAGUGGGGGACCGCAAGGCCUCACGUUAUUGGAGCGGCCGAUGGCUGAUUAGCUAGUUGGUAGGGUAAAGGCCUACCAAGGCGACGAUCAGUAGCUGGUCUGAGAGGACGAUCAGCCACACUGGGACUGAGACACGGCCCAGACUCCUACGGGAGGCAGCAGUGGGGAAUUUUGGACAAUGGGGGAAACCCUGAUCCAGCAAUGCCGCGUGUGCGAAGAAGGCCUUCGGGAUGUAAAGCACUUUUGUCAGGGAAGAAAUCCUUUGGGCUAAUACCCUAGGGGGAUGACGGUACCUGAAGAAUAAGCACCGGCUAACUACGUGCCAGCAGCCGCGGUAAUACGUAGGGUGCAAGCGUUAAUCGGAAUUACUGGGCGUAAAGCGUGCGCAGGCGGUUGUGUAAGACAGGUGUGAAAUCCCCGGGCUUAACCUGGGAAUUGCAUUUGUGACUGCACGACUAGAGUGUGUCAGAGGGGGGUGGAAUUCCACGUGUAGCAGUGAAAUGCGUAGAUAUGUGGAGGAACACCAAUGGCGAAGGCAGCCCCCUGGGAUAACACUGACGCUCAUGCACGAAAGCGUGGGGAGCAAACAGGAUUAGAUACCCUGGUAGUCCACGCCCUAAACGAUGUCAACUAGUUGUUGGGGAUUUACUUCCUUGGUAACGUAGCUAACGCGUGAAGUUGACCGCCUGGGGAGUACGGCCGCAAGGUUAAAACUCAAAGGAAUUGACGGGGACCCGCACAAGCGGUGGAUGAUGUGGAUUAAUUCGAUGCAACGCGAAAAACCUUACCUACCCUUGACAUGGCAGGAACUUUCCAGAGAUGGAUUGGUGCUCGAAAGAGAACCUGCACACAGGUGCUGCAUGGCUGUCGUCAGCUCGUGUCGUGAGAUGUUGGGUUAAGUCCCGCAACGAGCGCAACCCUUGUCAUUAGUUGCUACGAAAGGGCACUCUAAUGAGACUGCCGGUGACAAACCGGAGGAAGGUGGGGAUGACGUCAAGUCCUCAUGGCCCUUAUAGGUGGGGCUACACACGUCAUACAAUGGCUGGUACAAAGGGUUGCCAACCCGCGAGGGGGAGCUAAUCCCAUAAAGCCAGUCGUAGUCCGGAUCGCAGUCUGCAACUCGACUGCGUGAAGUCGGAAUCGCUAGUAAUCGUGGAUCAGAAUGUCACGGUGAAUACGUUCCCGGGUCUUGUACACACCGCCCGUCACACCAUGGGAGCGGGUUCUGCCAGAAGUAGUUAGCCUAACCGCAAGGAGGGCGAUUACCACGGCAGGGUUCGUGACUGGGGUGAAGUCGUAACAAGGUAACC